RNAcentral lists this long non-coding RNA (1918 nucleotides) under Mytilus galloprovincialis (Mediterranean mussel). Lineage: Eukaryota; Metazoa; Mollusca; Bivalvia; Mytilida; Mytilidae. The record is from RNAcentral.
CAUAUUUUAAAAUAGUGGAUCAAAAUUUAAUUAAACAAUUUGAUUUUAUUAAACUUCCACAUACUUUUUAAAGUCAGCAUGUGUCCCUGCGAAAUUUUGUGAAAAAAUUCAUCGGUUCAGGAAAAACAAAAUUUGAUGUCCUAUGAAUAUUUGUAUUUCGUUAUGGUAAUCAAACCUAUACCAUAGUGCUGACUUGUUUUAUCGGCAGUUUUUCAAGUGCACAAUCGAGGAUUGUUAUCCAAGGGAUCCUUGAAUUUUACCUUAUGUUGAAACAACAGUGACUCUGAAACAUUUAUUUCAUUUUUCAGCUGACCAAAGCCAAAUAGUCAAUAGAUAUUUUUCAUUACUUGGCGUCCGUCCGUCUAUCGUCGCUGUAUCUUUGUCUUUUUCAACUUAAACUCGGAUAACUCAUUAUAGAAGAUGUUGCCAUUAAUUGACUAGUUUAAACCAUUUUGGAUUUUGUUUUGCCUUUUAACCCUUAAGACUAUCAUAGACCGAGUAAAGAUUUAAUAGCAAAAUUAAUCAGCAAGACAAUUCAACAUCUCCGAAAUCGUCAGUCAACUCUUUACAGAAAAUAUUGCCCCACGAUGGUUAUUUUAUAAACUUUUUGCUUUUGCGUUUUUGAUUAAUAAUUUUAAAAGGCUUGUAAUUUUUAAACAUUAGAUAAAGAAAAAAUUACAAUAACAAAAACGAGUAAUAAGACAAGGUCUACAAAUUUAUUAAAAUAGCCGAAAAAGUCAAUUAACUCCUGAUAGGACUUGUUGUUCCAAAAUGACUUUUUACAUAGGUUUUGCAUUUUUGAACAUACCUGUAGUAGAUAAAGAUUACCUUUAUAUUCAGUAAAAAAUUAUCAUCAAUAUACGAUUUGUAUAUACAUAGCCCAACUUCUCAUUCCGUUCACCAUAAGAGUGAAUGAUAAUUCUUAUCUGUUUUAAGGUAGUUCGCUUCUCAGUUUCAAAGUAAUUAACUUUUUAAAACACUAGUUUAUAUUGAUAGGGGAUUAAUAAAGGAAUCAACAGAGCAAAAAAAAAUAUAUAGGUCACCGUGCUUGUUUUCGAGAUAUUAGCCAUUGAAAUUUUGGCGGGAAAAUAUUCUCUCUUGGCUUUUCAUAGCUUUAGUAUUGACAAGGUGAAGUUCUCAAAAACUGUUGAAAAGUAAUUAAAAUUUUAUAAGACUUUUACAGAUGGCUAAUUAUUAUACAUGUUAAAGAUUUACAAAAAGAAAAAUGGGGGUCACCGGGCAAAUUUUUGCAAGGCAUUCAAAUGGAAAAAACCAGAGGAUUCCGAAAAUCUGACAAAAUAUCCAAAACAUGACAAGCCAGCUUCCUUAAGCAUUUUUUACAAAAUAAAUAUAGUAGAUCAAGAAACACUGUAACAGUAAAUGUUCAGGAAAAACAGAUAUACAACAAAGUCAACAUUUCAAAAUGAAGUUAACUCCUUAUAUCAGAUAUUGUCCUAUAAUGAUGUACUCUACCUAUUCUUAUGUGUUGGUCAAAUCUAUAAAUUAAAUUUUGGCAAAAUCUACAGUAGAUAGAGAGCAACUGAAAAAAAUAUAAUUAAUACAAAACAAAAUUAUUUUUUAUUUAUCUUAGUCAUUAUUUAUAUUCUAUUCUGUAAUUCUAAAACUGCACGUCUCUCUAAAGCCGCAAGUUUCUAUCACAUAAUUCUUCUCUUCAUAGCAACUGAGUACCGAAUCUUUUGAUAUGCUUCCAUGUAACUAUAUCAAGGUAGGUCCUCCUCAUACUACGAUCAUUGAAGAAUGUGGCAUAUUUAUUUUUGUUCGAUACAAAUUGUUUUAUUUUUAUAUAUAUAUGUUAACAUUGGGUGUAUAUAUUUACAUACCGUUGUGCUACUGCUAUGCCAUUAUCAACGUUAUAUUGGAAAUUGUAUAAUUAUGAUGUUUAGUUGAAUAAAAUAAC